Molecule: long non-coding RNA, 454 nt
Organism: Impatiens glandulifera
Lineage: Eukaryota; Viridiplantae; Streptophyta; Magnoliopsida; Ericales; Balsaminaceae
Exons: 2
Source: RefSeq, a predicted model, not a curated record
GGAGCUGCUACUCAGAGGAGGCAUCAGGAUGGACCAGAUAUGUCACGCUGGCCGCCUUAUUAGCAUUGGAGGCCUUAAAGCCUUCCUUUCAAGUUCUUCUUGUUGUUGUGCAUGUUAUAAAAGAAGAAGGUGGUGAAAUGUUUAAAAGGAGAAGUAUUUAGAAGAGAAUUGAGAGAUGUUUUUAGCAGGUAGAAGUAUUUUAGAUGAGAAUUGAGAGACGUUUUUGGCAGGUAGUACCAUUGUCAAUGUUCCUGAUAAGUGCCGUCUGGUAAACUUUUGCCCCAAACUAAUCUUUUAGCAUAUGUUAUUGUUGAAAAAGAAGAAAAAUGUAACAAUGGAAUGUGGUUUAUGUAAAAUGACAUUUUUAGAACAUUUACAAUAUUUACAUAGAAACUACAACCUCAUUUCAGUGAAGUAUGAAAAAUCUAUCAUUUUUUUAUAAAAUAGGCUGUUU